GAUGAACGCUGACAGAAUGCUUAACGCAUGCAAGUCUUUGGCGAAGCUGUGCUUGCACAGCCUAGCCAAGGCGGACGGGUGAGUAACGCGUAAGGAACUUGCCCUGCAGUCAGGGAUAACAGACGGAAACGACUGAUAAAACCUGAUAAAGUCAGACGGACUCAUGUCCAGUCUGAUGAAAAGAAAUGCUGCAGGAGAGCCUUGCGUCCUAUUAGCUUGUUGGUGGGGUAACGGCCCACCAAGGCAAUGAUAGGUAGCCGGCCUGAGAGGGUGGACGGCCACAAGGGGACUGAGAUACGGCCCUUACUCCUACGGGAGGCAGCAGUGGGGAAUAUUGGACAAUGGGGGCAACCCUGAUCCAGCAAUUCUGUGUGCACGAAGAAGGUUUUCGGAUUGUAAAGUGCUUUCAGCAGGGAAGAAAAAAAUGACGGUACCUGCAGAAGAAGCGACGGCUAAAUACGUGCCAGCAGCCGCGGUAAUACGUAUGUCGCAAGCGUUAUCCGGAAUUAUUGGGCAUAAAGGGCAUCUAGGCGGCCAGAUAAGUCUGGGGUGAAAACUUGCGGCUCAACCGCAAGCCUGCCCUGGAAACUAUGUGGCUAGAGUACUGGAGAGGUGGACGGAACUGCACGAGUAGAGGUGAAAUUCGUAGAUAUGUGCAGGAAAUGCCGAUGAUGAAGAUAGUUCACUGGACGGUAACUGACGCUGAAGUGCGAAAGCUAGGGGAGCAAACAGG
RNAcentral lists this ribosomal RNA (733 nucleotides) under uncultured Leptotrichia sp. Its description in RNAcentral is "bacterial SSU rRNA". It matches the Rfam family "Bacterial small subunit ribosomal RNA", at positions 28 to 776 of the family's 1533-position model. Lineage: Bacteria; Fusobacteriati; Fusobacteriota; Fusobacteriia; Fusobacteriales; Leptotrichiaceae. The record is from RNAcentral.